CGUAGGGUGCGAGCGUUGUCCGGAAUUACUGGGCGUAAAGAGCUCGUAGGUGGUCUGUCGCGUCAUUUGUGAAAGCCCGGGGCUUAACUCCGGGUUGGCAGGUGAUACGGGCAUGACUGGAGUACUGUAGGGGAGACUGGAAUUCCUGGUGUAGCGGUGAAAUGCGCAGAUAUCAGGAGGAACACCGGUGGCGAAGGCGGGUCUCUGGGCAGUAACUGACGCUGAGGAGCGAAAGCAUGGGUAGCGAACAGGAUU
This 255-nucleotide ribosomal RNA is filed under the name uncultured bacterium. RNAcentral's name for it is "partial 16S ribosomal RNA". It matches the Rfam family "Bacterial small subunit ribosomal RNA", at positions 526 to 779 of the family's 1533-position model. The record is from RNAcentral.